RNAcentral lists this ribosomal RNA (542 nucleotides) under uncultured bacterium. RNAcentral describes it as "partial 16S ribosomal RNA". It matches the Rfam family "Bacterial small subunit ribosomal RNA", at positions 355 to 889 of the family's 1533-position model. The record is from RNAcentral.
UGGGGAAUUUUGGACAAUGGGGGGAAACCCUGAUCCAGCCAUCCCGCGUGUGCGAUGAAGGCCUUCGGGUUGUAAAGCACUUUUGGCAGGAAAGAAACGUCGCGGGUUAAUACCCCGCGAAACUGACGGUACCUGCAGAAUAAGCACCGGCUAACUACGUGCCAGCAGCCGCGGUAAUACGUAGGGUGCAAGCGUUAAUCGGAAUUACUGGGCGUAAAGCGUGCGCAGGCGGUUCGGAAAGAAAGAUGUGAAAUCCCAGAGCUUAACUUUGGAACUGCAUUUUUAACUACCGGGCUAGAGUGUGUCAGAGGGAGGUGGAAUUCCGCGUGUAGCAGUGAAAUGCGUAGAUAUGCGGAGGAACACCGAUGGCGAAGGCAGCCUCCUGGGAUAACACUGACGCUCAUGCACGAAAGCGUGGGGAGCAAACAGGAUUAGAUACCCUGGUAGUCCACGCCCUAAACGAUGUCAACUAGCUGUUGGGGCCUUCGGGCCUUGGUAGCGCAGCUAACGCGUGAAGUUGACCGCCUGGGGAGUACGGUCGC